GACGAACGCUGGCGGCGUGCUUAACACAUGCAAAUCGAACGGAAAGGCCCUGCUUUUGUGGGGUGCUCGAUUGGCGAACGGGUGAGUAACACGUGAGUAACCUGCCCUUGACUUUGGGAUAACUUCAGGAAACUGGGGCUCAUACCGGAUAGGAGCUCCUGCUGCACGGUGGGGGAUGGAAAGUUACGGCGGUUGGGGAUGGACUCGCGGCUUAUCAGCUUGUUGGUGGGGUAGUGGCUUACCAAGGCUUUGACGGGUAGCCGGCCUGAGAGGGUGACCGGCGACAUUGGGACUGAGAUACGGCCCAGACGCCUACGGGAGGCAGCAGUGGGGAAUAUUGCACAAUGGGCGGAAGCCUGAUGCAGCAACGCCGCGUGCGGGAUGACGGCCUUCGGGUUGUAAACCGCUUUCGCCUGUGACGAAGCGUGAGUGACGGUAAUGGGUAAAGAAGCACCGGCUAACUACGUG
This 468-nucleotide ribosomal RNA is filed under the name uncultured bacterium. RNAcentral describes it as "partial 16S ribosomal RNA". It matches the Rfam family "Bacterial small subunit ribosomal RNA", at positions 28 to 507 of the family's 1533-position model. The record is from RNAcentral.